UAUAAUUUAGUAUGAGAUGUACGUAAGUUUUUGAUACUUGAGGGAGUAGUUUAAUUCUGCUAGUUAUAA
Molecule: transfer RNA, 69 nt
Filed under: Trogoderma granarium
Lineage: Eukaryota; Metazoa; Arthropoda; Insecta; Coleoptera; Dermestidae
Description: tRNA-Gln
Source: RNAcentral